This 331-nucleotide unclassified non-coding RNA is filed under the name soil metagenome. RNAcentral's name for it is "partial contains 5.8S ribosomal RNA, internal transcribed spacer 2, and large subunit ribosomal RNA". The stretch from base 1 to 120 matches the Rfam family "5.8S ribosomal RNA", at positions 35 to 154 of the family's 154-position model. The record is from RNAcentral.
GAUGAAGAACGUAGCGAAAUGCGAUAAGUAAUGUGAAUUGCAGAAUUCAGUGAAUCAUCGAAUCUUUGAACGCACAUUGCGCCCCCUGGUAUUCCGGGGGGCAUGCCUGUUCGAGCGUCAUUUCACCACUCAAGCCUCGCUUGGUAUUGGGCAACGCGGUCCGCCGCGUGCCUCAAAUCGACCGGCUGGGUCUUCUGUCCCCUAAGCGUUGUGGAAACUAUUCGCUAAAGGGUGUUCGGGAGGCUACGCCGUAAAACAACCCCAUUUCUAAGGUUGACCGCGGAUCAGGUAGGGAUACCCGCUGAACUUAAGCAUAUCAAUAAGCGGAGGA